CUGCUACUGGACGGUCAGCUACAACAUUUGUCUGCUUCUGGCAACAACUUGGUUGGACCCUUACCAUCAAGCUUGCUAAGUUGUAAGAGCCUAGUAAGGGUUCGACUUGAACGAAAUAACCUUGAAGGAGAUAUCACCGGGAUGGGAGCUUAUCCAAAUCUUCUCUAUAUUGAUGUCAAUUCAAAUAAAUUGUUCGGCAGAUUAUCUCAUCUUUGGGGUGAGUGCUACAAACUUACUGUGUUACAUGCAUCAAACAACAAUAUAACUAGAGUAAUACCAUCAUGUAUAGGGAAAUUAACUCAGCUGGGGAUACUUGAUGUUUCAUCAAACAAGCUUGAAGGACAGAUUCCAAGAGAAAUCAGCAAGGUAACGAUGUUGCUUAACCUGAGCCUUUCUGGUAACUUGCUCCAGGGAAAUAUGCCACAAGAAAUUGGAUCACUUAACAACUUGGAGUAUCUAGAUUUGUCAUCAAACAACCUAACUGGGCAAAUACCAAGAUUAAUUGAGCACUGCCUAAAGAUUCACUUUCUAAAGUUGAGCCACAAUCACCUAAAUGGUACAUUUCCUAUCGAACUUGGGAUGUUAGUAAACCUACAAGAUAUGUUAGAAAAAAGUGACAAUUCAAUUGUUGGAUCUAUUCCAAGUCUGUUAGGCGGUCUUGGUAUGCUUGAAGCCUUGAAUCUUUCUCACAAUGCACUGAACGACAGCAUUCCACCAUCAUUUCGAAGCAUGACCAGUCUCCUAUCCAUGGAUGUGUCAUACAACAGACUAGAAGGGUCAGUGCCACAUGCUAGGUUUUUCGAAGAAGCUCCAAUCAAAUGGUUCAGGAAUAAUAAGAAAUUGUGUGGUGUUGUGAAAGGUUUGCCCCCUUGUGACCUUCCUUGAAGUAGUAAACAAGGGAAAAAGUCUGAUGCUAGUUUACUAGUUAUUAUACUAGUUGUUAUAUCUUUUGUGUUUGUCAUUACACUAGUAACAUGGCGUUGCAAAAGGAAGACAAAUAAGAUAGAAACAAGAAAUGAAGUACAACAGACCAUGAUGUUCGCCAUCUGGAACUUCGAUGGGGAAGAUGUGUACAAGAAAAUUGUUGAUGCCACAAACAAUUUCAGCAAUGCUUUUUGCAUCGGAUCUGGAGGGAAUGGAUCUGUCUAUAGGGCUCAGUUACCAAUAGGUGAACUAUUUGCAGUGAAGAAGAUCCAUGUGGCAGAAGACGAUGAGCAGUUUAACCGUGAAAUACACUCAUUGGUGAACAUUCAACAUCGCAACAUUGCAAAGUUAUUUGGUUACUGCUCUGCAACUCAGGGAAGAUUCCUUGUAUAUGAAUACAUGGACAGAGGGAGCUUAGCAGCAGCUUUAAAUUGUCUGGGAACUGCUGUUGAAAUGGAUUGGGCGAGGAGGUUAAAUAUUGUAAGGGAUGUUGCUCAUGCUUUGUCAUACAUGCAUCACGAUUGCUUUGCACCGAUAGUCCACAGAGAUAUAAAGAGCAGCAAUGUUUUGCUUGAUCUGGAAUUUAAAGCUUGCAUCUCGGAUUUUGGACUAGCAAAAAUACUAGAUGCAAAUGGAUCAAACUGCAGAAAUCUUGCCGGGACAAAAGGAUAUCUUGCACUAUAGCUUGACUACACAACAAGGACCGAGAAGUGUGAUAUUUACCGCUUCGGAGUGCUUGUUCUAGAGUUGUUCAUGCGACAUCACCCAGGUGAUUUCUUUUCAUCCAUUGUCGACAAAAUCGACAAAACUACAUUACUUCGAAAUUUGCUGGACACACGGCUCGCACUGCCGGGAGUUGAGAUCGCAAGUGAGAUGUUUCAAGUGAUUGUCGUCGCGGUCCGGUGCAUAGAGCCUGAUCCAUCACACCGUCCAACGAUGCAACAAGUACUCAAGGUGUUCUCAACAGUUGAAAGAUUGCCUACUGAUCAUCUUGAUUAUCUCCAAACCGGCAUCGUCAUCCCUGCCUGCUGGUCAUGA
This 1962-nucleotide ribosomal RNA is filed under the name Triticum aestivum (bread wheat). Its description in RNAcentral is "partial small subunit ribosomal RNA". Lineage: Eukaryota; Viridiplantae; Streptophyta; Magnoliopsida; Poales; Poaceae. The record is from RNAcentral.